Molecule: ribosomal RNA, 253 nt
Filed under: uncultured bacterium
Lineage: Bacteria
Description: partial 16S ribosomal RNA
Rfam family: Bacterial small subunit ribosomal RNA
Source: RNAcentral
UACGUAGGGACCAAGCGUUGUCCGGAAUCAUUGGGCGUAAAGAGCGUGUAGGCGGCUCGGUAAGUCCGCUCUGAAAGCCCGGGGCUCAACCCCGGGAGGCGGGCGGAUACUGUCGGGCUAGAGUCCGGAAGAGGCGAGUGGAAUUCCUGGUGUAGCGGUGAAAUGCGCAGAUAUCAGGAGGAACACCAAUGGCGAAGGCAGCUCGCUGGGACGGUACUGACGCUGAGACGCGAAAGCGUGGGGAGCAAACAGG